Molecule: unclassified non-coding RNA, 240 nt
Filed under: soil metagenome
Description: partial contains 5.8S ribosomal RNA, internal transcribed spacer 2, and large subunit ribosomal RNA
Source: RNAcentral
AACCAUAGAAACCUGCGGAGUACCUGCGGAGGGAUCAUUAACACACAAAAGAGGGAAUGAGUGAGAGGGAGAAAUUCUGAUCGCUCUUCUCUUUAAGUCCAUUUUGGGAUGUGGUGACAUUCACUUGUUGCCCUUCCUAAAACAACGUGCGAUGUUCAAGUCUUGUGACCAUGCAUGCCCAUCUCGGUGGUGCUUUUGCAUGAUCACAAGCAAAACCAAGAACACAAAUUCAUUGUAAAA